This 64-nucleotide transfer RNA is filed under the name Sinodendron cylindricum. Its description in RNAcentral is "tRNA-Leu". The record is from RNAcentral. Lineage: Eukaryota; Metazoa; Arthropoda; Insecta; Coleoptera; Lucanidae.
GUUACUUUGGCAGAUUAGUGCAAUAAAUUUAGAAUUUAUAUAUGUAGUAGUAUUACAGGUAAUA